GGUGUGAUCUCUGGCUCAGAGAGUACGCGGGCGGCGCACGCUUACACACAGUGAGUCUCAACGGCAGCACGGGGGGGCGCCCCCCUGGGUGGGCGGAGGUGGGCGGCAGNCGGGGGUGGAGGUGAAAUAACAAUACUGGGAAACAGUGUCCUCUGUUAUGUGGGGGGGAUAGGCCCCGGCGCAGAAGCGCCGGAUAUAAUACCGCAUACGAUAUACGGGAGAAAGCGGGGGAUCUUUCGGGACCUCGCGCUAUAGGGGCGGCCGAUGGCAGAUUAGCUAGUUGGUGGGGUAAAGGCCUACCAAGGCGACGAUCUGUAGCUGGUCUGAGAGGACGACCAGCCACACUGGGACUGAGACACGGCCCAGACUCCUACGGGAGGCAGCAGUGGGGAAUUUUGGACAAUGGGGGAAACCCUGAUCCAGCAAUGCCGCGUGUGUGAAGAAGGCCUUCGGGUUGUAAAGCACUUUUGUCCGGAAAGAAAACUUCUGCCCUAAUACGGUGGGAGGAUGACGGUACCGGAAGAAUAAGCACCGGCUANUCUAA
This 544-nucleotide ribosomal RNA is filed under the name Burkholderia sp. EPML22. RNAcentral describes it as "bacterial SSU rRNA". It matches the Rfam family "Bacterial small subunit ribosomal RNA", at positions 10 to 505 of the family's 1533-position model. The record is from RNAcentral. Lineage: Bacteria; Pseudomonadati; Pseudomonadota; Betaproteobacteria; Burkholderiales; Burkholderiaceae.